RNAcentral lists this RNase P RNA (351 nucleotides) under bovine gut metagenome. RNAcentral's name for it is "Bacterial RNase P class A". It matches the Rfam family "Bacterial RNase P class A". From Rfam's summary of the family: Ribonuclease P (RNase P) is a ubiquitous endoribonuclease, found in archaea, bacteria and eukarya as well as chloroplasts and mitochondria. Its best characterised activity is the generation of mature 5'-ends of tRNAs by cleaving the 5'-leader elements of precursor-tRNAs. Cellular RNase Ps are ribonucleoproteins. The record is from RNAcentral.
GCAGGGCGGGUGAUCGCGGGCGCCGGCGCAUUGCGCAGGCGCGUGAGGAAAGUCCGGGCUUCGCAGGGCAGGAUGCCGGAUAACGUCCGGUGGAGGUGACUCCCAGGCCAGUGCAACAGAAAUAUACCGCCCGCGGGAUUCGUCCCGCAGGUAAGGGUGAAAAGGCAGUGUAAGAGACUACCGUCUUCGUGGUAACACGAAGAGCCAUGUAAACCCCAUCCGAAGCAAGACCGAAACGAGGACAAUGGGCUUGCCCGGCCCGUUCUCAGGUGGGUCGCUGGAGGCUGCCGGCAACGGCAGUCCUAGAUAGAUGAUCAUCCAAGACAGAACCCGGCUUACAGCUCUGCUUAU